CAGCAGCCACGGGAAUACAGAGGGUGCGAGCGUUAAUCGGAUUUACUGGGCGUAAAGCGUGCGUAGGCGGCUUUUUAAGUCGGAUGUGAAAUCCCUGAGCUUAACUUAGGAAUUGCAUUCGAUACUGGGAAGCUAGAGUAUGGGAGAGGAUGGUAGAAUUCCAGGUGUAGCGGUGAAAUGCGUAGAGAUCUGGAGGAAUACCGAUGGCGAAGGCAGUUAUCUGGCCUAAUACUGACGCUGAGGUACGAAAGCAUGGGGAGCAAACAGGAUUAGAUACCCGCGUAGUCCCUGUCUCUUAUAC
Molecule: ribosomal RNA, 301 nt
Filed under: uncultured bacterium
Lineage: Bacteria
Description: partial 16S ribosomal RNA
Rfam family: Bacterial small subunit ribosomal RNA
Source: RNAcentral